CCACGCCCAGCUCAUUUUGUACUUUUAGUACAGACGGAGUUUCUCCGUGUUGGUCAGGCUGGUCUGGAACUCCCGACCUCAGGUGCUCCACCCGCCUUGGCCUCUCAAAGUGCUGGGAUUACAGGCGUGACCCACUGCAGUCGGACAGGAACCAUGCACCUCCUUGCACUGUCACUCAGCUACUCAGAACAUCUCUUGAACAUCUCUUGAACAAUUCUGUUGUUGGAAGUUUAUAAUGUCAGGUGCCAGCACACUUGAAAUGCGUGAAAAUGAGGUGAUACACACAACACUUCUGUUCAAGUUUUGAUUCAGCCUGCCUCAGUGUCCUGGCCUCUUUUCUCACUGGAUACAAUGGACAGGCCAUCAGCAUCAGACUGUGUUCCGAAUAAUCAGAGGACAUUGUGUUUU
Molecule: long non-coding RNA, 408 nt
Filed under: Homo sapiens (human)
Lineage: Eukaryota; Metazoa; Chordata; Mammalia; Primates; Hominidae
Description: non-protein coding lnc-TP53TG3-51:2
Source: RNAcentral